Molecule: microRNA precursor, 103 nt
Filed under: Marmota monax (woodchuck)
Lineage: Eukaryota; Metazoa; Chordata; Mammalia; Rodentia; Sciuridae
Source: RNAcentral
AGUGGGAUAACUGGGUCAAAUGGUGGUUCCACUCCAAGUUUUCUGAGGAAUCAUCAUACUGCUUUCCAGAGCGUUCACACCAAUUUGCAGUCCCACUAGCAAA